CCCAAUAAAUAUCGCCCUCCUCCCCCUCGAACGCAACGGCUCGCAAAAGCAAAAACCGAAAGUCCGAAACACCUCCUUCUUUUUCUCCGCGCCCGCAUUUCCACCAACCGCCACCGCCUCUCCACCACCUUCCUCCCCAUCGCCGCCUCCUCUCCACCUCCACCUCCUCCCCGUCGCCGACUCGCCGCUGCGGCGAUUUCGACGAACACCUCGCACUCGCCUCCGCCUCCGCCUCCUCCUCCAAGGGCUCCGACUCGAUCGCGUCGGGCGAGGCAUUUCCACGAACACCUCGCCUGCGGCUGCGUGCUGUCUCCCACGGCGCAAUGCGCAGAGGAGCAUCCCAAGCGCAGCAGCGCAAGGACGCCGAGGCUGCGGAGCAGCUGGAUCGCCUUAUGCGGGAGGCGAGCAGCCCGCGCAAGGAGGCCAGGGAGGCGUUGCUGCUGGAUCGCUCGCGCCGCCACGACGAGGCGAUCGCCCGCGUCGACGAGCUCGCGGCCAAGCACCCGGAGUCCGCGGCCGUGGCACACCUCGCCGGGCUCCUCCACUACCACGCCACCUCCCGCGCCAUGGCCGCCAAGGACAGGCAGGGUGUCGAGGCGCACUGCAACACCGCGCGCGACUUCUACAUCAAGGCCAAGCGGCUCGCCCCCAACUGCGUCGAGAUCGCCGUCCGCCUGGCGCUAGCGCGGCUCCGAUGCUUCAAUGACGGCGAGGCGGAGCCCGAGAUCGAACGCGCCUUGGCCAUCCCCUUCCCCACCGACCCCGCGGAGAACAACGUCGCGUACGACAACGCCCUGGGCACCACCAGCUCCAGGGACAGGGUGGAGAAGGCGAGGAGGGUGGCCCUCGCUCGCCGCCCCGAGAUUCUGUCCUACGUGCGCAACAGGUCCAUUCCCGGCGAUGUCCGCACCGUGCUCGACUACGCCGACAGCGAUGGCGUGGCCAAGGCGGUGAAGCCAGCGAAGGAGGUCGCCCUGCGCUACCCCUACUCGGCGCGCGCGCACCUCAUCUACGCAUACAUCCGCCUCAAGUUCGCUCAAGGCAUGGCCCCGGGCAUCGACAACCGGACGUUUCUGAGUCGCAUCCUCGCCGAUUUGGACAAGGUGGCAAGUCAGUUCAAGACCUCGCUUGUGCUCGCCAUGUUCCGCGCCAAGCUCUCGUUUCUCCUGGGCAUGUAUAUUCCUAUGACAGUUGAGUGCAUCCGGGCGAGCACCAUGGAGUGGCCUGCUGAUCCGUGGGAUGAUGACGUACCUGUUAAAUCUGUGCUCGGAGAGAAACCUGAAGAUAGGGUGGCUUCUAUCCGCAAAGAGUUUGGACGUUUACAAAAGAAGCUUGACGUGGUGGCCAUAGAUCACAUGCAAUCCUUAACAAUCGAAGAGCGGGACAGUGUUCUAUCAGUGGGACUCAAUUCGAUGCUUCAACACUACACUAAUGAAAAAAUUGACGAGGCUACAAAGAUCGUGUCUGAGGCACUCAGCUUUGUCCAGAAAAGCGGGUCAUGGAGGUAUUGGAUUUGCCCCUAUUGUGUUGGCAAGAAGAUCCCGAACACUGAUGCGCUCUUGCAACACAUGCGCAACAAGCACCCGGAAGGGAGUGUCUGGCCGAAGCUGCUGUCUGUUUUAGAUCCAAACUUGAUUUCCGAUACAUCUCGGGGUGAUCAUUUCUCGGAUGACAUGACUGUCUAUAAAGAUUCAGAGGAGCAAUAUGUCUUCCAUUUCAAAAGGAUUCUGCCACCUGCCGUAACUGAUCAAAGGCCAUUUUCUGAAAUACGAGAGAACAAAUGCACAGAAGGAAUUAAAAUCCUUGAGAAGAUCAAGCUAAAGCUGAAGAAUGCCCCCGCAGACAUUUUAAGCACCAAGUUUAAUGAGGCUUGUGCUGAAAUCCGGGACUUGUGGCAUGAUUUCCUUGAAAUCUCUGUUCUGGAUUUUCGUGUAGUUAUCUUACCCCAUGUGAUGGUUUUCAUAUGGGAACGGUUUCUGCAACGCAUGAGUGAAAAGGCUGCCAGUGAGAGUGUUAAUGCUGCUGAUAUUGGUGUUGUAUUUCCUUAUGUUGAUACUCCUGAUAUUGAUGAAAUACUUCCUAAUGUCGAUGAUGCCCUUGACAACAGUGCUGCUGACAAUGAUGCAAUAUGUCCCAAUGUUCCUGAUGCAUCUGACAGCGAUGCUGCUAAUAUUGAUGAAAUACUUCCUAAUGUCAAUGAUGCCCUUGACAACAAUUCUGCUGACAAUGAUGCAAUAUGUCCCAAUGUUCCUGAUGCACCUGACAGCGAUGCUGCUAAUAUUGAUGAAAUACUUCCUAAUGUCGAUGAUGCCCUUGACGACAAUUCUGCCGACAAUGAUGCAAUAUGUCCCAAUGUUCCUGAUGCAUCUGACAGCAAUGCUGCUAAUAUUGAUGCAAUACAUCCUAAUGUUGUUGAUGCCUCCAGUAGCAAUGCUUCUAAUACUGAUGCAGUAUGUCAUGGCAUUGAUGAUGCCCAGGGCAGAGAUGCUGCAGUAUGUCCUAAUGUUGACGAUGCCCCUGAAAACAAUGCUGAUGAUAUGGAUGCAGUAAUUCCUGACACUGCCGAUGCCCCUGAAAACAACGCUGAUGAUAUAGAUGCAGUAAUUCCUAACACUGCCGAUGCCCCUGAAAACAAUACCGAUGAUAUGGAUGCAGUAAUUCCUAACAUUGCCGAUGCCCCUGAAAACAAUGCUGAUGAUAUGGAUGCAGUAAUUCCUAACACUGCCGAUGCCCCUGACAGAAAUUCUGAUAUCAAAGAUGGCUCCAAUCUCUCCCACGCAAACAAGGUCCAGGAAGAUGAAGCCAACCAAAAACCAGAGAACACUACGCUGUCAUGCUCAGACGGCACAUCAACAGAUGUAAUUGAUAAACAAAGUGACGCACAUGUUAAAGAUGAGGACUAUGGUGCCACAGUAAAUGAAAAUGAGUCAAAUUCACCAACUGAAAUGGUGGAAUAUGGAAACGAGCUGGAUGCAACACCAGGUAAUAUGGAGGCAGAUCUAAAAUGUGACAGCCUGAAAAGAACUUCUCUACCCAGUUUAAGUGACCAAAUUUACAGUGCAGCAAACACUGCUUCACACUUGUUAGGAAAAUUUGACCACUCUACUGAGGAAAUUGCAAGCAUUUCCUGCUACCAAAAAAGCAUUGAUGAUCUCAAAAAGAACAAUGCUGAUGAAGAUCUGUAUUUCUUGAAUGUGAUAAUACAGUUACUGUGGAAUUUGAGGCACUUCCGGAAUGAAUUUCUAAGGGGGCGAUCUACCUUUGACAUAGUGCAUGAGGACCUCUGCAUUGCUGAAAAAUUAUAUAGGAUCUUCUCUGCAUGGGAGAAAAAUGAACAUUCUAAGACGGUUCUUUUGCUAACUGAUGUGAAGACCACUUUGUGUGGAAUCGUAAAUGAUAGCAAUAUGUUUCAAACGUUGCAGGCUGGAAGAAAUUUUGCAUCUGAAAUAAUGGCUAUUAUUCUUCGGAGUCUGGAUAAGUUUGAGAAUUCUGUGUGCGUUGGUUCAAUGAGAAUUGUAUUAGAUGCACCCUGCAGACAUUGUGUAUGGUACACACUUGGUCUUUUUGGGACAAGAUUGAAGCAACUUAUGAGCUGCAGAUGUGGAGAGUGGUUUGGGGAAGAAUAUAUUUUGCUUUUCCAUAAACUUGACGCAAGUUCACCUCAUAGCACAAAGAUCAAUUGCUUUGAUGAGCUUCCAAUGUUAAUGGAUUAUCAGUCCGAUUGGGAGAGAAGAUGCAAUAACUGUUCUGGGAGUGUCAAGCAAAUUGGUUGUUUUCUUUCAAAGGGACCACACUUCUUCACAAUAGUUAUGAAGGAUUGGCUGGGUAGCGAUGGAAGCCAGGCUAUCUUGUCUGAAGCAUUGUUUGGCAUUGGGUCUCCCCUUGACAUUACACUUCUCUACAAAGGUGUUACACUUCCUCACAUAGGUGGUCACUCUGCAACGAAGUACCGUCUUGCCUCAGUGAAUUUGAGCAGGAAUAUAUAGUCCAUAUAGCGAAUACUAGGGAGCGGAAGCAACACAGUGGAUUAUUACUUCUAUGGACUGUCAUCUCGAUAUAUUGCUGAACUUUAAAUUGGAACAUAUCAUUGAUUAAGCAUUGGAGAAGUACCAUGGCUAGGUAAUCUUGUGGGACCAACUAAAUGCCUGAUGUUCUUCUCAUUUCUAUAUUUGGAGUACUCUUAUUUCCAUCCAUAUCUUAUAACGAUUUGUCUCAUCAAUUUGAAUGCAUCGAUUGCAGAGAUAACGGCUACAUCGGCAUACCAUUCCUCAACCAUGUUUUGUAAUCUCUACACAUUAUGUUGCUACUUUGUUUCAACACAUCCUGUCAUUAGACUGGUUGUGGGAUUAUCUGCUUAUAGAAGCCUAAUCAUGUAUUGAAAAUCUACUUCAUGUGCAUACAGUUAGCUUAACAUUGCUAUCUGUCCAACCACGCAGAUUUGCUACGUUGAGCAUGGUUAUGUCUGCUUUGCUCGUGACCAGGACGACAAGUGGCUCAAGUAUGACACUACGACGGUCAAGACAGUAGAUACCUGGGGAGAGCUACUAGAACUUUACAGGGAGAUCAACAUCCAACCUGAAGUCCUUGUCUAUGAGGUCAUCAAGUAGCUAUGACACCCUUGCACCGAUCUGGCAAUUCCUCUGCCUUUGCACAUACAGAGAACUUGUAUACAGUAUAUACUAGUACAUAUACACCGUCGUCAAGUUUCGUUACUGCUGCCAAUCACACACCGCUUUCUUCAUCGAUCUUUUCCCUGACACAAGAUUGGCAAAUAUGUUGAAAGAAAAUAUUGAAUUUUUCCCUUGCUCCUUGGGAAAUUCUAUGAAAUGUUGAAAUUGUACUUACGUUACUGCAAGCUUUUGGAUUCA
This is a non-coding RNA of Oryza sativa Japonica Group (Japanese rice), 4868 nucleotides long. NCBI's taxonomy places the organism in Eukaryota, Viridiplantae, Streptophyta, Magnoliopsida, Poales, Poaceae. The record is from RefSeq and is a predicted model, not a curated record.